This 440-nucleotide ribosomal RNA is filed under the name uncultured bacterium. RNAcentral's name for it is "partial 16S ribosomal RNA". It matches the Rfam family "Bacterial small subunit ribosomal RNA", at positions 338 to 795 of the family's 1533-position model. The record is from RNAcentral.
CCUACGGGUGGCAGCAGUGGGGAAUAUUGGACAAUGGGGGAAACCCUGAUCCAGCGACGCCGCGUGAGUGAAGAAGUAUUUCGGUACGUAAAGCUCUAUCAGCAGGAAAGAAAAUGACGGUACCUGACUCAGAAGCCCCGGCUAACUACGUGCCAGCAGCCGCGGUAAUACGUAGGGGGCAAGCGUUAUCCGGAUUUACUGGGUGUAAAGGGAGCGUAGACGGCAGCGCAAGUCUGGAGUGAAAUGCCGGGGCGCAACCCCGGAACUGCUCUGGAAACUGUGAAGCUGGAGUGCAGGAGAGGUAAGCGGAAUUCCUGGUGUAGCGGUGAAAUGCGUAGAUAUCAGGUGGAACACCGGCGGCGAAGGCGGCUUACUGGACGGUAACUGACGUUGAGGCGCGAAGGCGUGGGGAGCAAACAGGAUUAGAUACCCUUGUAGUC